AGGGGAAAGAACCUGUGUAAUCACCUGAAGACAAACGGUCUUAACUUUCCAGAAGAUGACAGCUUUACAAAUGGAAAUGAUAAAUUAAGAGCGUCUGAGAGUCCAUCAAGGAAAGCAAAAACAAGGCAGGGGACGUGGAGGACAUCGAAACAAGCCAACGAAGUCCACAUCUGGUUUUCCCGCAAAAUCACCCCUAAGUGA
This 201-nucleotide long non-coding RNA is filed under the name Homo sapiens (human). Its description in RNAcentral is "non-protein coding lnc-MKI67-6:1". Lineage: Eukaryota; Metazoa; Chordata; Mammalia; Primates; Hominidae. The record is from RNAcentral.